GAUGAACGCUGGCGGCGUGCCUAAUACAUGCAAGUCGAGCGAACAGACGAGGAGCUUGCUCCUCUGACGUUAGCGGCGGACGGGUGAGUAACACGUGGAUAACCUACCUAUAAGACUGGGAUAACUUCGGGAAACCGGAGCUAAUACCGGAUAAUAUAUUGAACCGCAUGGUUCAAUAGUGAAAGACGGUUUUGCUGUCACUUAUAGAUGGAUCCGCGCCGCAUUAGCUAGUUGGUAAGGUAACGGCUUACCAAGGCAACGAUGCGUAGCCGACCUGAGAGGGUGAUCGGCCACACUGGAACUGAGACACGGUCCAGACUCCUACGGGAGGCAGCAGUAGGGAAUCUUCCGCAAUGGGCGGAAGCUUGGCGGAGCAACGCCGCGUGAGUGAUGAAGGUCUUCGGAUCGUAAAACUCUGUUAUUAGGGAAGAACAAAUGUGUAAGUAACUAUGCACGUCUUGACGGUACCUAAUCAGAAAGCCACGGCUAACUACGUG
This 497-nucleotide ribosomal RNA is filed under the name uncultured bacterium. RNAcentral describes it as "partial 16S ribosomal RNA". It matches the Rfam family "Bacterial small subunit ribosomal RNA", at positions 28 to 507 of the family's 1533-position model. The record is from RNAcentral.